UACGAAGGGGGCUAGCGUUGUUCGGAAUUACUGGGCGUAAAGCGCACGUAGGCGGAUACUUAAGUUAGGGGUGAAAUCCCGGGGCUCAACCCCGGAACUGCCUUUAAUACUGGGUAUCUCGAGUUCGAGAGAGGUGAGUGGAAUUCCGAGUGUAGAGGUGAAAUUCGUAGAUAUUCGGAGGAACACCAGUGGCGAAGGCGGCUCACUGGCUCGAUACUGACGCUGAGGUGCGAAAGCCAGGGGAGCAAACGGG
Molecule: ribosomal RNA, 253 nt
Filed under: uncultured bacterium
Lineage: Bacteria
Description: partial 16S ribosomal RNA
Rfam family: Bacterial small subunit ribosomal RNA
Source: RNAcentral